GGAGAACUGAGGGGGGCUGCUCCUAGUACGAGAGGACCGGAGUGGACGCAUCACUGGUGUUCGGGUUGUCAUGCCAAUGGCACUGCCCGGUAGCUAAAUGCGGAAGAGAUAAGUGCUGAAAGCAUCUAAGCACGAAACUUGCCCCGAGAUGAGUUCUCCCUGACCCUUUAAGGGUCCUGAAGGAACGUUGAAGACGACGACGUUGAUAGGCCGGGUGUGUAAGCGCAGCGAUGCGUUGAGCUAACCGGUACUAAUGAACCGUGAGGCUUAACCUUACAACGCCGAAG
Molecule: ribosomal RNA, 287 nt
Filed under: Escherichia coli
Lineage: Bacteria; Pseudomonadati; Pseudomonadota; Gammaproteobacteria; Enterobacterales; Enterobacteriaceae
Description: partial 23S ribosomal RNA
Rfam family: Bacterial large subunit ribosomal RNA
Source: RNAcentral